Small nucleolar RNA from Prolemur simus (greater bamboo lemur), 213 nucleotides. Its record names the gene U3. It matches the Rfam family "Small nucleolar RNA U3". From Rfam's summary of the family: Small nucleolar RNAs (snoRNAs) are involved in the processing and modification of rRNA in the nucleolus. There are two main classes of snoRNAs: the box C/D class, and the box H/ACA class. U3 snoRNA is a member of the box C/D class. The record is from Ensembl. Lineage: Eukaryota; Metazoa; Chordata; Mammalia; Primates; Lemuridae.
AAAAGUAUACUUUCAGGGAUCAUUUCUACAGUUUCUUACUAGAGAAAUUUCUCUGAAUGUAUAGAGCACCAGAAACCACCAGAAGGAGGCGCAGUGUUCUCUUCUGAGCAUGAAGCCUGCUCUUGGUGUUGCUUGGCUACAACAGCCAUUUGCCAUUGAUGAUUGUUCUCUCCCUUCCAGGGAGUUAGAGGGAGAGGACACAAUCUGAGUGAU